UUAUUGGGGUUGCGGACAUAUCAUAACGAAGAGGUAUCGUAAUUGAAGAGGUUUGGAAAGACCCACCACAGAAGGUAAUAGUCCUGUAUGUUAAACGAGAAGACUUCAGAUAUGAUCCAGAGUACCACGGGACACGUGAAACCCUGUGGGAAGCAGGAGGGACCACCCUCCAAGGCUAAAUACUACCUAGUGACCGAUAGCGUAUAGUACCGUGAGGGAAAGGUGAAAAGAACCCCGGGAGGGGAGUGAAAUAGAACCUGAAACCCUGCACUUACAAGCUGUGGAAGCACAUUUCUUGUGUGACCGCGUACUUUUUGUAGAACGGGCCAACGAGUUACGUUAAGUAGCAAGGUUAAGCACUUAAGGUGUGGAGCCGUAGCGAAAGCGAGUUUUAACUGAGCGUUCAGUUACUUGACGUAGACCCGAAACCGGGCGACCUACCCAUGAGCAGGAUGAAGCGAAAGUAAAAUUUCGUGGAGGUCCGAACCCACGAGCGUUGAAAAGCUCGGGGAUGACUUGUGGGUAGCGGUGAAAUUCCAAUCGAGCCCGGAGAUAGCUGGUUCUCCCCGAAAUAGCUUUAGGGCUAGCCUCAAGGUGAGAGAUACGGAGGUAGAGCACUGAAUGUCCUAGGGGGUAUUGCACCUACCGAAGACUAUCAAACUCCGAAUGCCGUCAUCUUAUACUUGGGAGUCAGACUGUGGGUGAUAAGAUUCAUAGUCGAAAGGGCAACAGCCCAGAUCGUCAGCUAAGGUCCCUAAAUGUAAGUUAAGUGGUAAAGGAUGUGGGAUUGCACAGACAACCAGGAUGUUGGCUUAGAAGCAGCCACUCAUUCAAAGAGUGCGUAAUAGCUCACUGGUCGAGUGAUCCUGCGCCGAAGAUUUCCGGGGCUAAAACUUACUACCGAAGCUACGGCAUCAGUAAUGAUGGGUAGGGGAGCUUCCCAUACGGGUUGAAGCAUGACCGUAAGGACAUGUGGACAGUAUGGGAGUGAGAAUGUUGGCAUGAGUAGCGAGAUGUGGGUGAGAAUCCCACAGGCCGUAAACCCAAGGUUUCCAGGGGAAGGUUCGUCCGCCCUGGGUUAGUCGGGACCUAAGCUGAGGCCGAAAGGCGUAGGUGAUGGACAACAGGUUGAUAUUCCUGUACUACCGAUAACCGUUUGAGAGAAGGGAUGACACAGUAGGAUAAGCUAAGCACACUGUUGGUUAUGUGUGCCCAAGCAUUGAGGCAGUCAAAGUAGGCAAAUCCGCUUUGAUAAUGCUGGGAUGUGAUGGGGAGCGAAAUUUAGUAGCGAAGUAGCUGAUUUCACACUGUCAAGAAAAGUCUCUAUCGAGGUUAAAGGUACCCGUACCGCAAACCGACACAGGUGGGUGAGGAGAGUAUCCUAAGGCCAGCGAGAGAACUGUUGUUAAGGAACUCGGCAAAAUGACCCCGUAACUUAGGGAUAAGGGGUGCCACCAUCAGGUGGCCGCAGAGAAUAGGCCCAAGCGACUGUUUACCAAAAACAUAGGUUUCUGCUAAGUCGCAAGACGAUGUAUAGGAGCUGACGCCUGCCCGGUGCUGGAAGGUUAAGGGGAUCUGUUAGAGCAAUCGAAGCAGUGAACUUAAGCCCCAGUAAACGGCGGCCGUAACUAUAACGGUCCUAAGGUAGCGAAAUUCCUUGUCGGGUAAGUUCCGACCCGCACGAAAGGCGUAACGAUUUGGGCACUGUCUCAACAACAGACUCGGUGAAAUUGUAAUUCCGGUGAAGAUGCCGGAUACCUGCGACAGGACGGAAAGACCCCAUGGAGCUU
Molecule: ribosomal RNA, 1790 nt
Filed under: Clostridioides difficile
Lineage: Bacteria; Bacillati; Bacillota; Clostridia; Peptostreptococcales; Peptostreptococcaceae
Description: partial 23S ribosomal RNA
Rfam family: Bacterial large subunit ribosomal RNA
Source: RNAcentral